CCUACGGGUGGCUGCAGUGGGGAAUAUUGGACAAUGGGGGGAACCCUGAUCCAGCCAUGCCGCGUGUGUGAAGAAGGCCCUCGGGUUGUAAAGCACUUUCAGUGAGGAAGAACGCCUGGUGGUUAAUACCCAUCAGGAAAGACAUCACUCACAGAAGAAGCACCGGCUAACUCCGUGCCAGCAGCCGCGGUAAUACGGAGGGUGCGAGCGUUAAUCGGAAUUACUGGGCGUAAAGCGCGCGUAGGUGGCUUGAUAAGCCGGUUGUGAAAGCCCCGGGCUCAACCUGGGAACGGCAUCCGGAACUGUCAAGCUAGAGUGCAGGCGAGGAAGGUAGAAUUCCCGGUGUAGCGGUGAAAUGCGUAGAGAUCGGGAGGAAUACCAGUGGCGAAGGCGGCCUUCUGGACUGACACUGACACUGAGGUGCGAAAGCGUGGGUAGCAAACAGGAUUAGAUACCCCAGUAGUC
This 465-nucleotide ribosomal RNA is filed under the name Vreelandella stevensii. RNAcentral's name for it is "partial 16S ribosomal RNA". It matches the Rfam family "Bacterial small subunit ribosomal RNA", at positions 338 to 795 of the family's 1533-position model. The record is from RNAcentral. Lineage: Bacteria; Pseudomonadati; Pseudomonadota; Gammaproteobacteria; Oceanospirillales; Halomonadaceae.